UAGUGGGCCGCUUGGGGCCAGGAAGAGUUUAUUAUGAAGAGUAAUGGUGGGAGUCAUCGCUGUCACCAUGGUUCGCCAUGUGGAGUCAGUUGUGGAGAGUGGAGCGGGGUCCGCUGUCGCGACUCGUUAGGGAGUGGUGGAGCCGCACAGAAUCCAUCGCAGGAGGUGGAGCAGAAUCAUGGCCAUUAUUACAGCCAGUCGGGAGUGAUGGAGCCGCACGAAAUCUGUUGCAGGAAGUGGAGCAGAGUUGUGACCGUUAC
Molecule: long non-coding RNA, 260 nt
Filed under: Elaeis guineensis (African oil palm)
Lineage: Eukaryota; Viridiplantae; Streptophyta; Magnoliopsida; Arecales; Arecaceae
Description: long non-coding RNA (EGUI_LNC076438)
Source: RNAcentral